Molecule: ribosomal RNA, 253 nt
Filed under: uncultured bacterium
Lineage: Bacteria
Description: partial 16S ribosomal RNA
Rfam family: Bacterial small subunit ribosomal RNA
Source: RNAcentral
UACGUAGGGGGCGAGCGUUGUCCGGAAUUAUUGGGCGUAAAGAGCGUGUAGGCGGUUCGGUAAGUCUGUCGUGAAAUCCUGGGGCUCAACCUCGGGCGUGCGAUGGAUACUGCCGGGCUAGAGGGUGGUAGAGGCGAGUGGAAUUCCUGGUGUAGCGGUGGAAUGCGCAGAUAUCAGGAGGAACACCAAUAGCGAAGGCAGCUCGCUGGGACGGUACUGACACUGAGGCGCGAAAGCGUGGGGAGCGAACAGG